GUGCUUGCUUCGGUAGCACAUAUACUAAAAUUGGAAUGAUACAGAGAAGAUUAGCAUGGCCCCU
This 64-nucleotide small nuclear RNA is filed under the name Capra hircus (goat). The record is from RNAcentral. Lineage: Eukaryota; Metazoa; Chordata; Mammalia; Artiodactyla; Bovidae.